UUAGGAAAGUCAGUUUUUUUUGUCCUUUGGUUUAUUUACUUUCAAUUAGGUAAGUUUCUGUUACUAUUUAGAUAGUUUCCUUUUGUGUGUUGUUUUCGGCUAUAGCUCACUCUGAAGCCAAAUACUCCGAUUGGAACAUCUUUAUCAAAAAUACAUCUUUUUUAAAAAUAAAUCAUUAUCAACUGUUCAACUUCGUGUGUGUCGGUUGUUGAGAUCUGAGGAGGAUGGAUCCUUCAUGAUGCGACCUGGCCAUAACAGAGAGUAAAUCCUGCAGAUGGGGAAAAGAUGGCUUACACCAAUCUCUGUGGGAUAGAUGGGUAAGGUUACUCUCUCGCUUAUAGUCAGGAAGUAAGAUUUCAUUAUAAAUAAUUGUAAAAUAUAUAAUACAUGUUUUAGUGCUUCAUCAGGCCUGAGAUUUUACAGAUGGAAACAACAAGAAAACACUUGCAUAAGGUCUCUGUUCACAGAACCAGCAACAUCUCUCCUGACACCCACCGCCAGUCUGCUGUAUUGUUCACAUGCUGUCCCCGGAGUGAGUCAAUGUGAGCGAGGAGUGAGAAACGAGAACAAAAGCAAGGAAGAGAUAGAGGCAGUGUAUCACGAGGGGGGCAUUUUUAUUGUCGGUAUAUGUACACCCAUUCAAUAAAUUAGAAUAUUACUGAAAAGUC
Molecule: long non-coding RNA, 668 nt
Organism: Poecilia latipinna (sailfin molly)
Lineage: Eukaryota; Metazoa; Chordata; Actinopteri; Cyprinodontiformes; Poeciliidae
Exons: 3
Source: RefSeq, a predicted model, not a curated record